Molecule: ribosomal RNA, 593 nt
Filed under: uncultured freshwater bacterium
Lineage: Bacteria
Description: bacterial SSU rRNA
Rfam family: Bacterial small subunit ribosomal RNA
Source: RNAcentral
AGAGUUUGAUCCUGGCUCAGAACGAACGUUGGCGGCGUGGAUUAGGCAUGCAAGUCGUACGAGUUCCAUUUGGGCAACUGGAUGGAAAAAGUGGCGAAAGGGGCAGUAAGGCAUGGAUAAUCUACCCUGAUGACCGGGAUAGCUGUCCCAACGGGCAGGUAAUACCGGAUGAGCUGGCGGUGCCGCAUGGUACUGCCAGGAAAGGCGCAAGCCGUGUCGGGAGGAAUCCAUGUGAUAUUAGCUAGUUGGCGGGGUAACGGCCCACCAAGGCGAAGAUGUCUAGCGGGUGUGAGAGCACGACCCGCGCCAUUGGCACUGAGACACUGGCCAGACUCCUACGGGAGGCUGCAGUCGAGGAUCUUCGGCAAUGGGCGCAAGCCUGACCGAGCGACGCCGCGUGAGCGAUGAAGGCCAUUAGGUUGUAAAGCUCUGUCGAGGGGGAGCAAGCCGCAAGGUUGAGCGAUCCCUGGAGGAAGCACGGGCUAAGUUCGUGCCAGCAGCCGCGGUAAGACGAACCGUGCGAACGUUGUUCGGAAUCAUUGGGCUUAAAGGGCGCGUAGGCGGGUGUUCAAGUCCGGGGUGAAAUCCUCCAG